GAGGGUAUAGCUCAAGUGGUAGAGUGCAUGCUCAGCAAACACAAGGUCCUGGGUUCAAUCCCCAGUACCUCCU
Molecule: transfer RNA, 73 nt
Filed under: Camelus bactrianus (Bactrian camel)
Lineage: Eukaryota; Metazoa; Chordata; Mammalia; Artiodactyla; Camelidae
Also listed under: 2 other names
Rfam family: tRNA
About the family: Transfer RNA (tRNA) molecules are approximately 80 nucleotides in length. Their secondary structure includes four short double-helical elements and three loops (D, anti-codon, and T loops).
Source: Rfam by way of RNAcentral